Molecule: long non-coding RNA, 430 nt
Organism: Cephus cinctus (wheat stem sawfly)
Lineage: Eukaryota; Metazoa; Arthropoda; Insecta; Hymenoptera; Cephidae
Exons: 2
Source: RefSeq, a predicted model, not a curated record
AUUCGUACAAGAACGAAUUUCUCACUUUUUCAAAAAUAACCUCCAAAGCAACUCGAUGCACGGGUAACGCAAUUAACGUGUCUCGCGUGAAUCAGCACUGGCAACCAAAGUUUGUUGGCCUUGCCGCACGAGAGCGCCACUUCCGGCGGGCUAGGAUCAUUCGCCGGGCGGGCAUUGGCAUUGGUGGUUCGCGUCGGCGACGACGUCGACGACAACGAUGACGACGAUCGCCGGGCUGACGGAGAGCGCACCAGGUGUAAUCUCGCGCGAUAAAAUGGCACAUGGUACGCUUGUUACGCCAGUUACCGUUCUUUCGUAUGUAUUAAUAGUAAUGGGAAUGAUAUAGCAUCGUUUCUAAACUGGUACGUAAUGAUCGUAAAGAACAAAAAAAAAAAAAAAGAAAAAAAGAAAUACAAGUAACCAACCGUAA